This is a non-coding RNA of Lolium perenne, 876 nucleotides long. NCBI's taxonomy places the organism in Eukaryota, Viridiplantae, Streptophyta, Magnoliopsida, Poales, Poaceae. The record is from RefSeq and is a predicted model, not a curated record.
CUCAAAUCCUACUUAUUUUAAUUAUGCAUUAGUGUUUUGAAACUAGCAUGCAUGGUAGGAUUUUGUUUUCAAAGUAAAGUAUUAUGCUAUGCUUAGCAAACCCUAGUAGUGUGUAGCUACUCCUGAACCUGUUGAUAGGAUACUUUAUUUUUUCUCUACAACAUCAAAUGCCAAAUGUUAUUUCAUUGUUUCGAUUGUGAUGGUUUGAAAAGUGAAAAUUAACAACCUUAAUGAAUCACCUGGGUGGAUUGUUUGAGUGGUGGGCGGCUGCUCAGGGCUCCGACCCUGGAGUAACCAGUGGCAGGUGGGUGCGUGAGAGUGCGCAGUUGAAUAGUGGUUACUCUAGACUGCACCCCUGGAUUUCACCAGGGGAUCGUGCGGGGGUUUAUUAUCUGUAAUGGUUCUAAGCCUGUGAGUUUCACUUGUGGAUGGCCACCCAGGAUUAAAGAGAUUACUAUGUCGUCCAUGUUUUAGUUAGCUUCCAGUGCAGCCUUAUGGUAUUAUGGGCUCUGCCGGGAUUAAGUAAGUUGUGAGGUCAAACUUGUUGCUAGACAUGAUGAUGUGGCUUGCAACCAAACGGGAACGGGUCUAGCUGGUUAUGGUUGAAGCCUCCUUCUGAAAGAUCUUGUCUCAUUUCUUCUCUUGGGAAGGGUGGGUCGUAAGGUGAAAGUGCACAACCUCUCGAGAGUUAAACCUAAGAUCUUAGCCGUGUCCCCGGUUACGGACAAUUUGAGCUUUCUAGGCAAGGAAUGUACGGAAGAAUCUCAUCAUUGUUUUCUGAAUGUAUUUAAAAUUUUGUAUCAACCUUGAAAAACUCAUGGGAGAUGUAACCAUGUGAUUAUUCUAAAACCCAUGGAGGAUUUAACCAUGGUGUGA